AGGAUAAACGCUGGCGGCGUGCCUAACACAUGCAAGUCGAACGCCCUACGCAAGUAGGGAGUGGCGGACGGGUGAGGAACACGUGGGUUAUCUGCCUUUCGGUGAGGAAUACCAGCGAGAAAUCGCUGACAAUACCGCAUACGGUUCUUUCGAGAGAGAGAACGAAAGUCGCAAGACGCCGGGAGAUGAGCCUGCGCCCGAUUAGUUAGUUGGUGGGGUAAAAGCCUACCAAGACUGCAAUCGGUAGCUGGUCUGAGAGGACGAUCAGCCACACUGGGAUUGAGAACGGCCCAGACUCCUACGGGGGCAGCAGUGAGGAAUUUUCGUCAAUGGGGGAAACCCUGAACGAGCAACGCCGCGUGCAGGAAGAAGGUUUUCGGAUCGUAAACUGCUUUUCUGUGGGAAGAGAACGGACGGUACCACAGGAAGAACGCCCCGGCUAACUACGUGCCAGCAGCCGC
Molecule: ribosomal RNA, 461 nt
Filed under: uncultured bacterium
Lineage: Bacteria
Description: SSU rRNA
Rfam family: Bacterial small subunit ribosomal RNA
Source: RNAcentral